This 464-nucleotide ribosomal RNA is filed under the name uncultured bacterium. RNAcentral describes it as "partial 16S ribosomal RNA". It matches the Rfam family "Bacterial small subunit ribosomal RNA", at positions 338 to 795 of the family's 1533-position model. The record is from RNAcentral.
CCUACGGGAGACAGCAGUAGGGAAUCUUCCACAAUGGGCGCAAGCCUGAUGGAGCAACACCGCGUGAGUGAAGAAGGGUUUCGGCUCGUAAAGCUCUGUUGUUGGAGAAGAAAGUGCGUGAGAGUAACCGUUCACGCAGUGACGGUAUCCAACCAGAAAGUCUCGGCUAACUACGUGCCUGCAGCCGCGGUAAUACGUAGGUGGCAAGCGUUAUCCGGAUUUAUUGGGCGUAAAGCGAGGGCAGGCGGUUGCUUAGGUCUGUUGUAAAGGCCGUCGGCUUAACCGAAGAAGUGCAUCGGAAACCGGGCGACUUGGGUGCAGAAGAGGACAGUGAAACUCCAGGUGUGGCGGUGGAAUGCGUAGAUAUAUGGAAGAACACCAGUGGCAAGGGCGGCUGUCUGGUCUGCAACUGACGCUGAGGCUCGAAAGCAUGGUAGCGAACAGGAUUAGAUACCCGAGUAGUC